UGCCUGGCUCCCUGAAUGCCAUCCGAGAGAAGCAAUGCCAUCGUGUCCAUGGCGUGCCUCCCGGUUGGCGUUGAGGGAGUCAUGCAGGUUGCUUGCAUUGCCUCAGCAGC
Molecule: microRNA precursor, 110 nt
Filed under: Sorghum bicolor (sorghum)
Lineage: Eukaryota; Viridiplantae; Streptophyta; Magnoliopsida; Poales; Poaceae
Description: miR160f stem-loop (sbi-MIR160f)
Gene: sbi-MIR160f
Source: miRBase by way of RNAcentral